CCAUAUAAUGUCGCGAAAUAGUUCAUGCGAUUGCACUGUCAUCAUCUCAGACUGCUGGGAUCAGAGGCAGAACCUGAGAUCCAGGGUUCCCACAUCUUCUUAAACAUCAAACCCAAUGUGAUAUAUGCUGACAUAAAGAUUGGCCGAAGCAGAGCAGAUGAAGAGAACCUUUGCUCCCUCCGUCACAGUCUGAGGCUGGACUGACAGAGUCACCGAGGGAGGGUCUGUGAAAGGAAAAAAAACCUUUGUGUUACUGACACGACUGUAUGACUUGGCUCUUCAUCAGAUUUACUAAUCUUAUUGGCACCGGCCACCUUUUAACGGUGCAACAGGAUUAAAUGUCUUUUGACAGA
This is a long non-coding RNA of Acanthopagrus latus (yellowfin seabream), 353 nucleotides long. RefSeq lists it as uncharacterized. The record is from RefSeq and is a predicted model, not a curated record. The transcript is spliced from 2 exons. Lineage: Eukaryota; Metazoa; Chordata; Actinopteri; Spariformes; Sparidae.